This 550-nucleotide ribosomal RNA is filed under the name uncultured bacterium. RNAcentral describes it as "bacterial SSU rRNA". It matches the Rfam family "Bacterial small subunit ribosomal RNA", at positions 355 to 896 of the family's 1533-position model. The record is from RNAcentral.
UAGGGAAUCUUCGGCAAUGGACGGAAGUCUGACCGAGCAACGCCGCGUGAGUGAAGAAGGUUUUCGGAUCGUAAAGCUCUGUUGUAAGAGAAGAACGAGUGUGAGAGUGGAAAGUUCACACUGUGACGGUAUCUUACCAGAAAGGGACGGCUAACUACGUGCCAGCAGCCGCGGUAAUACGUAGGUCCCGAGCGUUGUCCGGAUUUAUUGGGCGUAAAGCGAGCGCAGGCGGUUAGAUAAGUCUGAAGUUAAAGGCUGUGGCUUAACCAUAGUACGCUUUGGAAACUGUUUAACUUGAGUGCAAGAGGGGAGAGUGGAAUUCCAUGUGUAGCGGUGAAAUGCGUAGAUAUAUGGAGGAACACCGGUGGCGAAAGCGGCUCUCUGGCUUGUAACUGACGCUGAGGCUCAAAAGCGUGGGGAGCAAACAGGAUUAGAUACCCUGGUAGUCCACGCCGUAAACGAUGAGUGCUAGGUGUUAGACCCUUUCCGGGGUUUAGUGCCGCAGCUAACGCAUUAAGCACUCCGCCUGGGGAGUACGGCCGCAAGGUUG